This is a long non-coding RNA of Onychomys torridus (southern grasshopper mouse), 758 nucleotides long. RefSeq lists it as uncharacterized. The record is from RefSeq and is a predicted model, not a curated record. The transcript has 3 exons. NCBI's taxonomy places the organism in Eukaryota, Metazoa, Chordata, Mammalia, Rodentia, Cricetidae.
GAUAGGAAAGAUGCCCCAGGGCACGACUCCACCGCUAAGCCUUCAGUUUAUGCAAGAGAGCCUAAGGGGUUGCUUGUGCCUAGAAAGCAGUUGUGUCGGCAGACAGAAGCUGCUGCCACCGGAGUCAAGGGGAUGAGGGUCCACCCCCAUCCGGCAGCUGAACUUGGCAGUGCCACCCACAUGAUCCUGGGUUUGGAGACAAGAAAGAUGAAAGACUGAGAGGGGUCACAGUCAAGAGAUUGCCUUAAGUCUCAGAAGAGCCUGGAUUAUUGAACAGUGUUGAGACUGUUAAAGACUAUGGGGAUUGUUGAAGUUGGAUUAAAUGUAGUUUUCAUUGUGGUGGCCCAAAUGAGAAAUGUCUCCCAUAGGCUCGUAUAUUUGAACACCUGGUUGGCGGUGCUGUUUGGAGGCAGUUUUGGAAUCUUUCGGAGGUGCAGCCUUGUGAAAAAAGAUCUGCCUGGCCUUAAACUCUGGUUUCAGGUAUGGGCCUCUGGGUCUGUCGUCGGCAAGUGUCCUGGUGCUCUGCUCUCCUCGGCAGUGGACAGUUCCUGGAAUUCUGUCUUUGGUUAAGAAGAAAGAUGUCUUUGUCCUUACAGUGUUCGCUAUUGUCUGGGACUGACAUUCACAAGUUGCACUUGAAGGGCUUUCAGAGGGGCACAAGAGUAAGGCUGUGGAAGAGAGGAGUGAACUGGGUUUAAAUGCUUUUCCCUUUGAAUAUAGAAGAUUUUAGUUUUAAAAAUAAAAUAUCUUUAAGACUU